UUCACGGUAUGCCUCAGUACGGCGAGUGAAGCGGCAAAAGCUCAAAUUUGAAAUCCCCCGGGAAUUGGAAUUUGAAAAAAUUUGGGUCCGGCCGGCAGGGGUUAAGUCCACUGGAAAGUGGGGCCACAGAGGGUGACAGCCCCGUGAACCCCUUUAACGCCUUCAUCCCAGAUCUCCAAGAGUCGAGUUGUUUGGGAAUGCAGCUCUAAGUGGGUGGUAAAUUCCAUCUAAAGCUAAAUACCGGCGAGAGACCGAUAGCGAACAAGUACAGUGAUGGAAAGAUGAAAAGCACUUUGAAAAGAGAGUGAAAAAGUACGUGAAAUUGUUGAAAGGGAAGGGCUUGCAAGCAUACACUUAACUGGGCCAGCAUCGGGGCGGCGGGAAAUAAAACCACCGGGGAAUGUACCUUUCGAGGAUUAUAACCCCGGUCUCCAUUUCCUUGUUGCCCCGAGGCCUGCAAUCUAUGGAUGCUGGCGUAAUGGGUGCAAGUCGCCCCUCUUGACACACCGACCAAACCG
Molecule: ribosomal RNA, 518 nt
Filed under: Metschnikowia pulcherrima
Lineage: Eukaryota; Fungi; Ascomycota; Pichiomycetes; Serinales; Metschnikowiaceae
Description: partial large subunit ribosomal RNA
Rfam family: Eukaryotic large subunit ribosomal RNA
Source: RNAcentral